GGAUGAAAUCGAUGAGAAGACCUGGGUACUUGAGCCAGAAAAACCUCCACGGAGUGCAACAGCACGCAGAAUUGCAUUAGGGAAUAAUGUUUCCAUAAAUAUAGAGGUAGACCCCAGGCAUCCUACUAUGCUUCCUGAGUGCUUCUUUCUUGGAGCUGACCAUGGUAUGACAUCUGAGAUUUAAACGUUUUUUAAUAGAGUCAUAAAAUCCUUGCCUACCAUUGUUAAAUUAUUAGACAAUAUUAGUAUAUUAAUGGUAGUUUUUAUUUUUUGUCUGAGACGGAGUUUUGCUCUUGUUGCCCAGUAUGUAGUGUAAUGGCACGAUCUCGGUUCACUGCAAUAAUGAUAGUUAUUUUAAAUGAAAAUGUCUCAGCAUUCUGAACUGUAUAAUUUUGUUUUUUAACAUAAUACAUAUAAUUUUGAUUUUCUAAUCAAGUAGUUAAGAAACAUUCUGUAUCAAAUGUGGCUUUAGAAACCAAGAGUAGAGCAUGCAAUUAUUAAAUUUUUUUUUUUAAAUCUGAAGUGGUAAAACCCCUGGGAAUUAAGCUGAGCAGGAACAUACAUUUGUGGUAGGUACCUUGGCAAUAUAAUUUUUACUUUUUGGUGAUUUUACAAAGUUCACAGCAUAAUUUUUUUCCCCAUGCUUUCAGGGAUCCAGAAAAUAGUGUGUUACAAAAUUUGAAAGAUGUUUUAGAAACUGAUUUUCCAGCUCGUGCUAUCCUGGAAAAAUCUG
This 733-nucleotide small RNA is filed under the name Pan troglodytes (chimpanzee). RNAcentral's name for it is "retained intron". Lineage: Eukaryota; Metazoa; Chordata; Mammalia; Primates; Hominidae. The record is from RNAcentral.